GGCCCAUUAGCUCAAUUGGUUAGAGCGUCGUGCUAAUAACGCAAAGGUCACAAUGUCGGGGCGUGUAUGGGCCA
Molecule: transfer RNA, 74 nt
Filed under: Marchantia polymorpha subsp. ruderalis
Lineage: Eukaryota; Viridiplantae; Streptophyta; Marchantiopsida; Marchantiales; Marchantiaceae
Description: tRNA-Ile
Rfam family: tRNA
About the family: Transfer RNA (tRNA) molecules are approximately 80 nucleotides in length. Their secondary structure includes four short double-helical elements and three loops (D, anti-codon, and T loops). Further hydrogen bonds mediate the characteristic L-shaped molecular structure. tRNAs have two regions of fundamental functional importance: the anti-codon, which is responsible for specific mRNA codon recognition, and the 3' end, to which the tRNAs corresponding amino acid is attached (by aminoacyl-tRNA synthetases). tRNAs cope with the degeneracy of the genetic code in two manners: having more than one tRNA (with a specific anti-codon) for a particular amino acid; and 'wobble' base-pairing, i.e. permitting non-standard base-pairing at the 3rd anti-codon position.
Source: RNAcentral